This 837-nucleotide ribosomal RNA is filed under the name uncultured cyanobacterium. RNAcentral's name for it is "partial 16S ribosomal RNA". Lineage: Bacteria; Bacillati; Cyanobacteriota. The record is from RNAcentral.
CCUUCGUCUGAUCCGGCAGAAUCUUAUGCGCUUACUGCGGCACUGAACGGGUCGAUACCCCAUAACUUAGUACCAUCGUUAGAGCGUGAACAACAGGGAUAUAAAACCGGGUUCGCCCCCCUAGUUUUCGUCCCUCAGCGUCAGUUGAGGCCCAGAAAGACCGCCUUCCCCACGGGUGUUCCUCCAGAUAUAUAAACAUUUCCCCGCUACACGGGGAAUUCCCCCUCCCUCUCCAGCACUCAAGUAAAACAGUUUCAAUUGCCUCUCCGCGGUUGACCCGGGAUCUUUCACACCAGAUUUAAAUGCCCGCCUGCGGACUUUUUACCCCGAAUAUUUCAAGAAAACGCUCGCCCCUUCUAUUUAACCGGGUUUGUGGUCAGAAAUUUACCGGAGAUUUAUUCCUGAGGACCUGUAUUUUCUUCUUCCCCAAAAAAAUUUUCUAACCUCAGAGCUUCCUUACUCCACCAGGCGGGGUUGCUCCUGGUGGCCCCCACUCGUUAAAAAAACCCCCUGGCUGCUGCCUGAAGGAGGNCCCCCGGUUUGUCAUUUUCUUUCCCGCAAAUUCAAUUUUGAGUAGAAAAUUCUCUUUUUUUUUUUUCUUCCCUUCAUACGCAUUUCAAACUUUACCUAUCCUGAAUUGGGACAGAUUUCAAGUGAUUCAGUUAACUAAACAGAAAAUACAUUCCAUCUUGCCUAAUCAUUCUGCAUGCUUCGAUGAACAAUGAACCAAGAUGGAAUUUUUUGAUUAUUGGAAAACUUAAAAUCCUCCGGUAUUGACAUGAGGGAAUGUCUACAAUACCUGCGUUUAUCGGAUCUAGUCAGAUACUAGGUNUUUCG